UACAGAGGUCUCGAGCGUUAGGCGGAAUCACUGGGCUUAAAGCGUGUGUAGGCGGAUCGGUAAGUACCUUGUGAAAUCUCCGGGCUUAACUCGGAACGGUCAAGUGAUACUGUCGGACUAGAGGUACAGAAGGGGCACUGGAAUUCUCGGUGUAGCGGUGAAAUGCGUAGAUAGUCGAGAGGGAACACCUGCGGCGAAGGCGGGUUGCUGGGCUGAUACUGACGGCUGAGGCGCGGAAAGCCCAGGGGAGCGAACGGG
RNAcentral lists this ribosomal RNA (258 nucleotides) under uncultured bacterium. RNAcentral's name for it is "partial 16S ribosomal RNA". It matches the Rfam family "Bacterial small subunit ribosomal RNA", at positions 524 to 776 of the family's 1533-position model. The record is from RNAcentral.